GGCAGCAGGCAGCCUGGAGAGCUUGGGAGAAAAACUGAAUGAAACUGACCUAGCGGAAAUAUUCCUCCAAAGAAUAUUCUUUCAAAAUUUUAUCCAUGUUUUAAAAUUUAAUUUAAUGAUAUUUAAUUGUUAUUUAACCAGUGGCUUGUUAUCUCAUGACGCGAUGCGGUCUUCAUCCUUCAGCUUCCCUUCUGUUUCCAAAACGAAUUCUGGAAGUCUGUGGAAGCCUAAUCUGCCAGCACCCACUAAUCCCCAGGAUCAGCUCUCGGCAAAGAAGAGACCUUGAGUGAUCUUCAGAGAGAUUAGGUAGGAGGGGGUUUAAGCAUUCUGUGAAUGCAGUGAGUGCCCAGAGCAGGAUGGAGGCCGGGGAAGGUGGCCUCACGUCCUGGAACUCCAUCUCUGUUCUGUGCAGGCAGUGUGAGGAACCAGACCCCAGAUACUCACCGUACACGGUGGUGCGGAUAGCAGAGGCAGAAAUGCGGGCCUAUCAUCGAUUCUUGGGGAGCUGCACCAGCCUGGAGUACAGGGCAAAUGAAGCACUUCCAAUAAACAGCACCUCCUUGCUCUCCAAAGCUGGGCAUAUUCCUGAUGUCUGCUGUGCUGCAGUCUGCAAACCGUCAUAGAAUUUCGACAGCUGCCUGGUCUUUCCCUGCCAUCAACUAAGAGAGCUAUGUGGGGUCUCCUCCUGGUCCUGGUGAGCAUAAAGAGAAUAAAUGUUCAGGGCUUGCAUGUGCUCUGCCAGGGCUGAGCUCUGGGGCCACGUGGGGCCACAUGCUGAGGUUCCUGUGGAGUACUCCGAAGCCAUCAGGGACUUCGUGUGAGGGCGGGAGUGUUUCAUUUCUAAUGUGUAUCAUGCCAUGAUUGUGUCAAUAUUUGUCUAGAUUUAGCAAUUAUACACUUAAUAUUUGUGCAGUCUGCUUGUAUUCAACAAAAUUUUGUUAGUAUAAAAAUAAAAGAUAAAGAGCACACAUUAUGUAAACUAA
Molecule: long non-coding RNA, 983 nt
Organism: Rattus rattus (black rat)
Lineage: Eukaryota; Metazoa; Chordata; Mammalia; Rodentia; Muridae
Exons: 2
Source: RefSeq, a predicted model, not a curated record